CCUGGAUUUGGCUGACACUUCGAUAACUCAGCCCUGAAACCUGCAGUCAGUCCUCCCACGGCUAAAUUGGGAAGUGCAUCAUUUCUGGAUGCUUGCAGAAGUCUUUCCAUAUGGCUGGAAGAUGACAUGGAAAGCCCGGAUGCUAGUGAUGGCCUACGAACGUGAGGACCCACCAGCUCUGCUGCCCACAAGAGCACAGAGUACAACAGAAGUUCCCGUGGAUGACCUGCCAGCCCCAGAAAGCACAAUUCAAGCCCAGGAAGAUCAAAAUUCCACACCCCUAAGGAUUGCUUUAGAAAUUCUUAAAGUUAUACUUUGACAGAGAACAGAGGUCACUUGCUGUAUUUCAAAAAUGGUACCGACAAGUAAUUGCCAUAAUCAGUAUAGACAGUCAGAACUUGAGCGGUAAGGAGGAGUCCUCUGGAUACACAAAUAAGGAGUCAUUGGAAAAGACUCUGAUGCUUAAGGCAAGAAGAGACGUUACAAUGUUACCUAUGAAAAAGAGGGAGUUUGCUUAAAAUUUUAUAUACACACACGUGUAUAUGUAUAAACACACGUUCCACACAGAAGAAGACAAAGGAAAAAGACUGGAAGGCUACACGUGUAAUCACCAAAGCUAUGUCAUCAGUGAUUAUCUGGAGGGGGCC
This is a long non-coding RNA of Equus quagga, 647 nucleotides long. RefSeq lists it as uncharacterized. The transcript is spliced from 3 exons. NCBI's taxonomy places the organism in Eukaryota, Metazoa, Chordata, Mammalia, Perissodactyla, Equidae. The record is from RefSeq and is a predicted model, not a curated record.